UUCACGUCAAAUUUCAAUACAGUACCCAACUUUCCCUAAAAAAACCCUACAUCUUUCCCUCAGCACAGUCUUUUGACAUUUUCCUCACUCUCUCUCGCUGCUGCCUCUCUCUCAUUUCUCCGAUCGCUCUCGCUCUCUAUCUUACUUUCUCUCUACUCAAAUCUCCGUUCUGAAAUUUUUGGUGAGAAGACAUUUCGAAUGAUCUCCUUAAAAGAUCUGGAAGAUCUUGGUGAUAAAUUAGGGGCCCUCCUGAAAGUUCGUUUGAAAUUUUCCUGUAAGAUCUGAAAUUUUCGUAGAAGAUCUGAAAUUUUCCUUCUUCUCAAUGAGAAGACAUUACUUAAUUGAAGAUUCAAAGUUCGUUCCUUUAAAUGCUGAUGACCCUGUAUAUGGCCCUCCUAUAAGUUCUGGUUUGUUCUAUUCUGUUUUUUGUUGUUGAUUUUAUCAUCUAAAGGACUAGUGCAUGUAGCUCUUAUUAGUCCCUCGAGAAGAUAAAUUAUUAAACUCAAUUUUCUCCAGAUUUUGACUUCUUGCUCUAUUUCUAUUGUUCUUUCCAUGUAUUGCAAUUCUAGACUUUUGAGAUGCUUUAUCUUAUGUGAAUGUAUGAAAUUCGAUUAUUUGAAGCAAAUGUGUUCAUGUAUGUUGCCUUUCUUGUUUCAGUCAAGACCAAACAUAAAUGAGGAUAAUGAUUGAAACUUUCUUUAGUUUUAGGCUUUGCUGCUGUUGGGCUUUGAAGUAGAGGAGGCGGCAAAGGUUGGAUAUAUUAAGUUUUGUAUUCAUUAUCCAUUUCAUUGUGUUUGUGCUUGUAGGUUUUUGGUUUCUUUUCCUUUGAAGUUGGAGGAAUAUCCGAGUAUGCGAACAGGUACUUCUUUAAGAAAUUUUGGUUGAUUCUUACUUCAAUGAAUCCUUGUGAGGUUACGCCGUGAACAGGUAAAGCCAAAUUUUUUUUUUUAAAAUUUUCUGUUUAAUUUAUUUUUGAAUGAUUUGUGGGUGUAGAUAGUGAAUACUAGGUGUUCAAUGAAUUGUUCUUCAUUGCCAACCUGACAGCUCUACUGGGUUGUCAAAUAAAAGUUUAAUAUGCCCUCUUUUGUUUGUGGAUAGAAACAAUAGUGAUGAUGGUGGUUAUCACCAGCCAAAUGAGGAGUUUAUUCAACCCAAAACAACAGUGGUGAUGCUGAUUGUAUCUUUGAUGGGAUUUCAAAUGUCAGGUUCUGAAGCAAUUGAAGUUCAUCCUUUUUUAUGUCUAAGAGGGCUACUACUCUGAAUGAUGAGAUUGCUUGGUCUAAGUGAGAAGCUGAGUGGGGUGUUUCACUCUCUGGCAUUCACCCUCUGAAGGCAAACCAAAAUUAUUGCAGGUGAUACAUAUAUGUGACCUGAGUGUACGUUGAUGCAAUUCAAAUUGGUGUCCAAGGCCACACAACAGAUUCAUGUCGAUGAAUGAGCGGAAGAUGAUUGACUUGGAUCAAGGAUGGAAGUUCAUGCAUAAAGGGUUCACCAAGCUGAAGAACAUUUUAGAAGGGCUGCCUGAGCAACAGUGCAAUAAGUCAUGUUAUAUAUAUUGUUUUCCUUCUUAAAUAUGUUGUUGGUCAUUGUAGAAGAAUUUUUUUUCUUGAAUGGGCAAUAAUAUAACUAGAAAU
Tripterygium wilfordii is the source of this 1634-nucleotide long non-coding RNA. RefSeq lists it as uncharacterized. The transcript has 3 exons. The record is from RefSeq and is a predicted model, not a curated record. NCBI's taxonomy places the organism in Eukaryota, Viridiplantae, Streptophyta, Magnoliopsida, Celastrales, Celastraceae.